Sporosarcina newyorkensis 2681 is the source of this 67-nucleotide non-coding RNA. The record is from Rfam. Lineage: Bacteria; Bacillati; Bacillota; Bacilli; Caryophanales; Caryophanaceae.
GAGAGAUGAAGUUAACCAAAGAUCGCCGCGUCCUGCGGCAUAGGUUAACUGACCUGCAUCACGUAGG